UCUGAUGGUACUUUGCAAAGCUCAGGGAGA
This 30-nucleotide non-coding RNA is filed under the name Rattus norvegicus (Norway rat). Lineage: Eukaryota; Metazoa; Chordata; Mammalia; Rodentia; Muridae. The record is from RNAcentral.